Molecule: ribosomal RNA, 492 nt
Filed under: uncultured bacterium
Lineage: Bacteria
Description: partial 16S ribosomal RNA
Rfam family: Bacterial small subunit ribosomal RNA
Source: RNAcentral
AGUGAACGCUGGCGGUAGGCCUAACACAUGCAAGUCGAACGGCAGCACAGUAAGAGCUUGCUCUUACGGGUGGCGAGUGGCGGACGGGUGAGGAAUACAUCGGAAUCUACUUUUUCGUGGGGGAUAACGUAGGGAAACUUACGCUAAUACCGCAUACGACCUACGGGUGAAAGCAGGGGAUCUUCGGACCUUGCGCGAUUGAAUGAGCCGAUGUCGGAUUAGCUAGUUGGCGGGGUAAAGGCCCACCAAGGCGACGAUCCGUAGCUGGUCUGAGAGGAUGAUCAGCCACACUGGAACUGAGACACGGUCCAGACUCCUACGGGAGGCAGCAGUGGGGAAUAUUGGACAAUGGGCGAAAGCCUGAUCCAGCCAUACCGCGUGGGUGAAGAAGGCCUUCGGAUUGUAAAGCCCUUUUGUUGGGAAAGAAAAGCAGUAGGUUAAUACCCCGCUGUUCUGACGGUACCCAAAGAAUAAGCACCGGCUAACUUCGUG